Molecule: transfer RNA, 67 nt
Filed under: Tinamus guttatus (white-throated tinamou)
Lineage: Eukaryota; Metazoa; Chordata; Aves; Tinamiformes; Tinamidae
Rfam family: tRNA
About the family: Transfer RNA (tRNA) molecules are approximately 80 nucleotides in length. Their secondary structure includes four short double-helical elements and three loops (D, anti-codon, and T loops). Further hydrogen bonds mediate the characteristic L-shaped molecular structure. tRNAs have two regions of fundamental functional importance: the anti-codon, which is responsible for specific mRNA codon recognition, and the 3' end, to which the tRNAs corresponding amino acid is attached (by aminoacyl-tRNA synthetases). tRNAs cope with the degeneracy of the genetic code in two manners: having more than one tRNA (with a specific anti-codon) for a particular amino acid; and 'wobble' base-pairing, i.e. permitting non-standard base-pairing at the 3rd anti-codon position.
Source: Rfam by way of RNAcentral
ACUCUAAUAGUUUAUUAAAACAUUGGUCUUGUAAACCAAAGACUGAAGACUCAUUCUUCUUAGAGUA